RNAcentral lists this ribosomal RNA (436 nucleotides) under Haemophilus sp. oral taxon 036. RNAcentral describes it as "bacterial SSU rRNA". It matches the Rfam family "Bacterial small subunit ribosomal RNA", at positions 30 to 460 of the family's 1533-position model. Lineage: Bacteria; Pseudomonadati; Pseudomonadota; Gammaproteobacteria; Pasteurellales; Pasteurellaceae. The record is from RNAcentral.
AUUGAACGCUGGCGGCAGGCUUAACACAUGCAAGUCGAACGGUAGCAGGAGAAAGCUUGCUUUCUUGCUGACGAGUGGCGGACGGGUGAGUAAUGCUUGGGAAUCUGGCUUAUGGAGGGGGAUAACUACGGGAAACUGUAGCUAAUACCGCGUAGAAUCGGAAGAUGAAAGUGCGGGACCGCGAGGCCGCAUGCCAUGAGAUGAGCCCAAGUGGGAUUAGGUAGUUGGUGGGGUAAAGGCCUACCAAGCCUGCGAUCUCUAGCUGGUCUGAGAGGAUGGCCAGCCACACUGGAACUGAGACACGGUCCAGACUCCUACGGGAGGCAGCAGUGGGGAAUAUUGCGCAAUGGGGGGAACCCUGACGCAGCCAUGCCGCGUGAAUGAAGAAGGCCUUCGGGUUGUAAAGUUCUUUCGGUAUUGAGGAAGGGAUGUGUGC